GCCACAUCUCCAAACCCUUUCUUUUCAAAUGUAGGCAAAGUAGGAGAGAGCCUAGGGGAGCAUAGGGCUCUGCCCAAUGAUGUCUAGUCCCUUUCCACAAUGUUGGAUAUGAAGCUGGGCUUUGUGUCUGCGCCUGCAUAUUCCUACAGCUUCCCAGAGUCCUGUGGACAAUGACUGGGGAGAUAAGCCAUGCAGGAAACAGUA
This is a small nucleolar RNA of Dipodomys spectabilis (banner-tailed kangaroo rat), 204 nucleotides long. RefSeq annotates it as small nucleolar RNA SNORA73 family. NCBI's taxonomy places the organism in Eukaryota, Metazoa, Chordata, Mammalia, Rodentia, Heteromyidae. The transcript has a single exon. The record is from RefSeq and is a predicted model, not a curated record.